UCCUUCCCUGAAAACGGCACCGUUGUUGGAUUGAAUACUUCCUCCGAUGUCUCUCAAAUCCUCUCCACUUUUCAUCCCCUCUCUCAACUCUGUCUUAGUGUCUCUCGUCUCUUGUCGCUCGUCUCUCAAGUCUCUCGAAUCCUCCUCAAGUCCCUAGCCGUGCCAAUGCGAUUGUGAAAUAGCAUUAUUCUGCCUGCUUGCGAGAGGGGUUUAUUCAGCAACAGCUGGAACAUUGCUUGAUCAUUCAAAGGGUUGUUGGAGAAUGCUAGUAUGCCCCUUGUGCUAGUCAAUGUCCCUUGUGUAGCUUCCUCAAUUCCAUAUUCAACUUUCAAGAUGUGAAGAGUAGUAGCAU
Long non-coding RNA from Carya illinoinensis, 352 nucleotides. RefSeq lists it as uncharacterized. NCBI's taxonomy places the organism in Eukaryota, Viridiplantae, Streptophyta, Magnoliopsida, Fagales, Juglandaceae. The record is from RefSeq and is a predicted model, not a curated record. The transcript is spliced from 3 exons.